GUGAGGAAUUUUCCGCAAUGGGCGAAAGCCUGACGGAGCAAUGCCGCGUGAAGGAUGAAGGCCUAUGGGUUGUAAACUUCUUUUCUCAGAAAAGAAUUAUGACGGUAUCUGAGGAAUAAGCAUCGGCUAACUCUGUGCCAGCAGCCGCGGUAAGACAGAGGAUGCAAGCGUUAUCCGGAAUGAUUGGGCGUAAAGCGUCUGUAGGUUGUUUAAAAAGUAUUCUGUCAAAGAUUAGGGCUUAACCCUAGAUAGGCAGAAUAAACUUUUAAGCUAGAGUUUGGUAGAGGCAGAGGGAAUUCCCGUUGGAGCGGUGAAAUGCGUAGAUAUCGGGAGGAACACCAAAGGCGAAGGCACUCUGCUGGGCCAAUACUAACACUGAGAGACGAAAGCGAGGGGAGCAAAUGGGAUUAGAAACCCGAGUAGUCC
This 426-nucleotide ribosomal RNA is filed under the name uncultured bacterium. Its description in RNAcentral is "partial 16S ribosomal RNA". It matches the Rfam family "Bacterial small subunit ribosomal RNA", at positions 354 to 796 of the family's 1533-position model. The record is from RNAcentral.